This 252-nucleotide ribosomal RNA is filed under the name uncultured bacterium. Its description in RNAcentral is "partial 16S ribosomal RNA". It matches the Rfam family "Bacterial small subunit ribosomal RNA", at positions 524 to 776 of the family's 1533-position model. The record is from RNAcentral.
UACGGAGGGCGCGAGCGUUAUCCGGAUUUAUUGGGUUUAAGGGGUGCGUAGGCGGGCUUUUAAGUCAGCGGUAAAAAUUCGGGGCUCAACCCCGUCCGGCCGUUGAAACUGGGGGCCUUGAGUGGGCGAGAAGAAGGCGGAAUGCGUGGUGUAGCGGUGAAAUGCAUAGAUAUCACGCAGAACCCCGAUUGCGAAGGCAGCCUUCCGGCGCCCUACUGACGCUGAGGCACGAAAGUGCGGGGAUCGAACAGG